UUUUUUUUUUUUAUUAUUUUUUAGUCUUUUUAUAAAUUAAUAAAUAAAAAUAUUUUGUUGGGGUGAUAUUGAAAUUUAAUAAACUUUCAAAAUUUAAUAACAUUAAUUUAUGAAUUUAUGAUCCUUUAUUAUUGAUUAAAAAUUUAAGUUACCUUGGGGAUAACAGCGUAAUUAUUUUGGAGAGUUCUUAUUGAUAAAAUAGAUUGCGACCUCGAUGUUGGAUUAAGAUUAAUUUUG
Molecule: ribosomal RNA, 237 nt
Filed under: Campsicnemus modicus
Lineage: Eukaryota; Metazoa; Arthropoda; Insecta; Diptera; Dolichopodidae
Description: partial 16S ribosomal RNA
Source: RNAcentral